This 465-nucleotide ribosomal RNA is filed under the name uncultured bacterium. RNAcentral describes it as "partial 16S ribosomal RNA". It matches the Rfam family "Bacterial small subunit ribosomal RNA", at positions 28 to 507 of the family's 1533-position model. The record is from RNAcentral.
GACGAACGCUGGCGGCGUGCUUAACACAUGCAAGUCGAACGGAAAGGCCCUGCUUGCAGGGUACUCGAGUGGCGAACGGGUGAGUGACACGUGGGUGGUCUGCCCUGCACUUCGGGAUAAGCCUGGGCAACAGGGUCUAAUACCGACUAGGAGACAUUUUUAGUGUGAUGGUUGGAAAGUUUUUUCGGGGUAGGCUGAGCUGGUGGCGUAUCGGCUUGUUGGUGGGGUAAUGGGCUACCAAGGCGGCGACGGGUAGCCGGCCUGAGAGGGUGGACGGCCACACUGGGACUGAGAGGAGGCCCAGACUCCGACGGGAGGGAGCAGUGGGGAAUAUUGAACAAUGGGCGCAAGCCUGAUGCAGCGACGCCUCGUGGCGGAUGACGGCCUUCGGGUUGUAAACUCCAUUCGCUAGGGACGAAGCUUUUUGUGACGGUACCUAGACAAGAAGCACCGGCUAACUACGUG